This is a long non-coding RNA of Danio aesculapii, 404 nucleotides long. RefSeq lists it as uncharacterized. The record is from RefSeq and is a predicted model, not a curated record. The transcript is spliced from 3 exons. NCBI's taxonomy places the organism in Eukaryota, Metazoa, Chordata, Actinopteri, Cypriniformes, Danionidae.
UGUAGAUGAGCUGUCAAAGAAACAGGACGAGUUUUCCGGGUUUUUUUUCUCUUACUCUGCGAGUCGCUGAGGGAAAUCAUCUUCUCUGUCUCGAGCAGCAGCAGCUGUCACAGAAGCGGCCACGCGUACCGGAAACACUCACUUUCAGCUUCCGGAGAAACUUUACGAGGAAAAACUUUACUACUGAAGAAUAAGGGAUGUGUUUGGAGCAUCACACUCAUCCAGCAGAAGCAUGUGGACAGACAUUGACAGUAAUGAUGGUCAUCUGCUGAUGGACAGAUAUGACUGAAUCUUUCUCUGUGUCUCAGAUGAGGAGGAUGUGAAGCUCAGGACGGGUCAUCAUAUCAACACAUCAAUCUACAGACAAACAUCACAUUUGAAUAAAGAUUUAAUGAUGAAAGCCU